AGCAGCCGCGGUAAUUCCAGCUCCAAUAGCGUAUAUUAAAGUUGUUGCAGUUAAAAAGCUCGUAGUUGAAUUUCGGGGUUAGUAGGUUGGUCAUGCCUCUGGUAUGUACUGGUCUCACUGAUUCCUCCUUCCUGAUGAGCCGUAAUGCCAUUAAUUUGGUGUUGCGGGGAAUUUGGACUGUUACUUUGAAAAAAUUGAGUGUUUAAAGCAAGCUAACGCUUGAAUACAUUAGCAUGGAAUAAUGAAAUAGGACGUUCGAUCCUAUUUUGUUGGUUUCUAGGAUUGACGUAAUGAUUUAAUAGGGAUAGUUGGGGGCAUUAGUAUUCAAUUGUCAGAGGUGAAAUUCUUGGAUUUAUUGAAGACUAACUACUGCAAAGCAUUUGCCAAGGAUGUUUCAUUAAUCAAGAACGAAAGUUAGGGGAUCGAAGACGAUCAGAUACCGUCGUAGUCUUAACCAUAAACUAUGCCGACUGGGGAUCGGAUGAUGUUAAUUUUUAUGUACUNAUUCCGGCNCCGUUAA
RNAcentral lists this ribosomal RNA (520 nucleotides) under uncultured Glomus. Its description in RNAcentral is "SSU rRNA". It matches the Rfam family "Eukaryotic small subunit ribosomal RNA", at positions 569 to 1093 of the family's 1831-position model. Lineage: Eukaryota; Fungi; Glomeromycota; Glomeromycetes; Glomerales; Glomeraceae. The record is from RNAcentral.